AAAUGCGAUAAGUAAUGUGAAUUGCAGAAUUCAGUGAAUCAUCGAAUCUUUGAACGCACAUUGCGCCCGCCAGUAUUCUGGCGGGCAUGCCUGUCCGAGCGUCAUUACAACCCUCAGGCCCCCCGGGCCUGGUGUUGGGGAUCGGCGGAGCCCUCUGGGCACACGCCGUCCCCCAAAUUCAGUGGCGGUCUCGCUGCAGCCUCCAUUGCGUAGUAGCUAACACCUCGCAACUGGAAGGCGGCGCGGCCAUGCCGUAAAACCCCCAACUUCUGAAUGUUGACCUCGGAUCAGGUAGGAAUACCCGCUGAACUUAAGC
RNAcentral lists this unclassified non-coding RNA (316 nucleotides) under plant metagenome. RNAcentral describes it as "partial contains 5.8S ribosomal RNA, internal transcribed spacer 2, and large subunit ribosomal RNA". The stretch from base 1 to 104 matches the Rfam family "5.8S ribosomal RNA", at positions 51 to 154 of the family's 154-position model. The record is from RNAcentral.